GGGGAGCCGAGACAAUGAGUUGGUCUGAGGACUAGGGGACAGUGGGCUGGGGAGACGAGACAAUGAGGUGGUCUGAGGGCCAGGGGACAGUGGGCUGGGGAGACGAGACAAUGAGGUGGUCUGAGGGCCAGGGGACAGUGGGCUGGGGAGAAGAGACAAUGAGCUGGUCUGAGGGCCAGGGGACAGUGGGCUGGGGAGAAGAGACAAUGAGCUGGUCUGAGGGCCAGGGGACAGUGGGCUGGGGAGAAGAGACAAUGAGCUGGUCUGAGGGCUAGGGGACAGUGGGCUGGGGAGACGAGACAAUGAGUUGGUCUGAGGGCCAGGGGACAGUGGGCUGGGGAGAAGAGACAAUGAGCUGGUCUGAGGGCCAGGGGACAGAGAUACAAUGGGGCUGCAGGAUACAGACACAAAUACAGUCCCAAUGACAUCUGCUCCCCUCCCCUCCCCGCCCCUCCCUUCUCUCCUCUGCUCCUCUCUGACUGUCCCUUACCCCC
Molecule: long non-coding RNA, 494 nt
Organism: Oncorhynchus tshawytscha (Chinook salmon)
Lineage: Eukaryota; Metazoa; Chordata; Actinopteri; Salmoniformes; Salmonidae
Source: Ensembl